GCGGCUAUAGCUCAAUGGUAGAGCGCCUGCUUCCCAAGCAGGAUACGUCAGUUCGAUUCUGUCUAGCCGCUCCA
RNAcentral lists this transfer RNA (74 nucleotides) under Falsarthrobacter nasiphocae. RNAcentral's name for it is "tRNA-Gly". It matches the Rfam family "tRNA". Rfam says of the family: Transfer RNA (tRNA) molecules are approximately 80 nucleotides in length. Their secondary structure includes four short double-helical elements and three loops (D, anti-codon, and T loops). Further hydrogen bonds mediate the characteristic L-shaped molecular structure. tRNAs have two regions of fundamental functional importance: the anti-codon, which is responsible for specific mRNA codon recognition, and the 3' end, to which the tRNAs corresponding amino acid is attached (by aminoacyl-tRNA synthetases). tRNAs cope with the degeneracy of the genetic code in two manners: having more than one tRNA (with a specific anti-codon) for a particular amino acid; and 'wobble' base-pairing, i.e. permitting non-standard base-pairing at the 3rd anti-codon position. Lineage: Bacteria; Bacillati; Actinomycetota; Actinomycetes; Micrococcales; Micrococcaceae. The record is from RNAcentral.